RNAcentral lists this unclassified non-coding RNA (336 nucleotides) under uncultured fungus. RNAcentral describes it as "partial contains small subunit ribosomal RNA, internal transcribed spacer 1, and 5.8S ribosomal RNA". The stretch from base 1 to 73 matches the Rfam family "Eukaryotic small subunit ribosomal RNA", at positions 1759 to 1831 of the family's 1831-position model. The record is from RNAcentral. Lineage: Eukaryota; Fungi.
UCAAACUUGGUCAUUUAGAGGAAGUAAAAGUCGUAACAAGGUUUCCGUAGGUGAACCUGCGGAAGGAUCAUUACAGUGCCCGCGGGGCGCGCCUCACCGGCCUCCACCCCGCACACGGCCACCCGUGUCUACCGUACCCUCUGUUGCCUCGGCGGAGCCUGUCGCGCCUUCAGGGGCGUGACUGCCGGGCGGCGCCUAACCCCCGCCGGCCGGAUAGCGCCCGCCAGAGGACCAACCGAACCCUUCUGUGAAUCCAGUGACGUCUGAACGAGAUUUUUGAUAAAAAAAACUUUCAACAACGGAUCUCUUGGUUCCGGCAUCGAUGAAGAACGCAGC